UACGUAGGGGGCUAGCGUUGUCCGGAAUCACUGGGCGUAAAGCGCACGUAGGCGGAUCGAUCAGUCAGGGGUGAAAUCCCAGGGCUCAACCCUGGAACUGCCUUUGAUACUGUCGAUCUGGAGUAUGGAAGAGGUGAGUGGAAUUCCGAGUGUAGAGGUGAAAUUCGUAGAUAUUCGGAGGAACACCAGUGGCGAAGGCGGCUCACUGGUCCAUUACUGACGCUGAGGUGCGAAAGCGUGGGGAGCAAACAGG
RNAcentral lists this ribosomal RNA (253 nucleotides) under uncultured bacterium. RNAcentral describes it as "partial 16S ribosomal RNA". It matches the Rfam family "Bacterial small subunit ribosomal RNA", at positions 524 to 776 of the family's 1533-position model. The record is from RNAcentral.